This 393-nucleotide ribosomal RNA is filed under the name Chelicorophium curvispinum. RNAcentral describes it as "partial 16S ribosomal RNA". Lineage: Eukaryota; Metazoa; Arthropoda; Malacostraca; Amphipoda; Corophiidae. The record is from RNAcentral.
UUGAGGACUGGGAUGAAAGGUUUUAUAUUUAAGACAUUCUGUUUUUUAACACCUUGAAUUUUUAGUGAGGGUAAAAAUACUCUUAUAUUUAAAAGAGACGAUAAGACCCUAAAAUCUUUAUUCUUUAUAGGUAUAUAGUUACUUUUAGGUGGAAUUUAUUUGGGGUAAAUAUUUUUAAAUUAUAAAAUAUUAUUUUACUUUUGUGUGUUAGAAUCUUAAAUUAGGUUAUUGGUGUAAGUUACUUUAGGGAUAACAGCGUAAUUUUUUAUUGGAGGGGAUAUUUGUUAGAUUUUUACGACCUCGAUGUUGAAUUAAGAAUUCUUUCUGUAGCAGUAUGCAGGGGAGAGGGUUUGUUCAACCUUUUAUUUUUUACAUGAUCUGAGUUCAAACCGG